Long non-coding RNA from Panicum virgatum (switchgrass), 439 nucleotides. RefSeq lists it as uncharacterized. The record is from RefSeq and is a predicted model, not a curated record. The transcript is spliced from 2 exons. Lineage: Eukaryota; Viridiplantae; Streptophyta; Magnoliopsida; Poales; Poaceae.
ACCAGCCAGCCAGAACAACAAACCCCUUCUUCCGCAGCUGAAGAACGUCUCACUAGAGGGCGCAUGACUAGAAGUAAUUCGGCAGCGAAUUCGGGUGCUGUUUAUACUACAGCAAAGCAACUGAAGGAAAUUGCGGCUAGGAAAAGAUAUGCAUUGUCCAAAAAGAAUACACAGGAGGAAUCUUGAGUUUGAGAAGGAGCAUGCGAAUGGUGGGACGAUGGCCAACAUACAUAUCAAGGGAACCUUCCCUGCUAUAGUAGACAUUAGUCUUUUGAAACAGUUGUCUGUGCUUCAAACAGUUGUCUGUGCUUGACACAUUAUUAUGUGUUAAGCUAUCUACUUGUGUUCUCAUUUACUUUGACACUCGGUGUGUUUCGUUGAAGAUUUUGUAUGAACAAAUUAUAUUUCGUUUUAAUGGAUGUCGAUGCUUCAUUCAUUA